GCGUAGUCGAUGGGAAACAGGUUAAUAUUCCUGUACUUGGUGUUACUGCGAAGGGGGGACGGAGAAGGCUAUGUUGGCCGGGCGACGGUUGUCCCGGUUUAAGCGUGUAGGCUGGUUUUCCAGGCAAAUCCGGAAAAUCAAGGCUGAGGCGUGAUGACGAGGCACUACGGUGCUGAAGCAACAAAUGCCCUGCUUCCAGGAAAAGCCUCUAAGCAUCAGGUAACAUCAAAUCGUACCCCAAACCGACACAGGUGGUCAGGUAGAGAAUACCAAGGCGCUUGAGAGAACUCGGGUGAAGGAACUAGGCAAAAUGGUGCCGUAACUUCGGGAGAAGGCACGCUGAUAUGUAGGUGAGGUCCCUCGCGGAUGGAGCUGAAAUCAGUCGAAGAUACCAGCUGGCUGCAACUGUUUAUUAAAAACACAGCACUGUGCAAACACGAAAGUGGACGUAUACGGUGUGACGCCUGCCCGGUGCCGGAAGGUUAAUUGAUGGGGUUAGCGCAAGCGAAGCUCUUGAUCGAAGCCCCGGUAAACGGCGGCCGUAACUAUAACGGUCCUAAGGUAGCGAAAUUCCUUGUCGGGUAAGUUCCGACCUGCACGAAUGGCGUAAUGAUGGCCAGGCUGUCUCCACCCGAGACUCAGUGAAAUUGAACUCGCUGUGAAGAUGCAGUGUACCCGCGGCAAGACGGAAAGACCCCGUGAACCUUUACUAUAGCUUGACACUGAACAUUGAGCCUUGAUGUGUAGGAUAGGUGGGAGGCUUAGAAGUGUGGACGCCAGUCUGCAUGGAGCCGACCUUGAAAUACCACCCUUUAAUGUUUGAUGUUCUAACGUUGACCCGUAAUCCGGGUUGCGGACAGUGUCUGGUGGGUAGUUUGACUGGGGCGGUCUCCUCCUAAAGAGUAACGGAGGAGCACGAAGGUUGGCUAAUCCUGGUCGGACAUCAGGAGGUUAGUGCAAUGGCAUAAGCCAGCUUGACUGCGAGCGUGACGGCGCGAGCAGGUGCGAAAGCAGGUCAUAGUGAUCCGGUGGUUCUGAAUGGAAGGGCCAUCGCUCAACGGAUAAAAGGUACUCCGGGGAUAACAGGCUGAUACCGCCCAAGAGUUCAUAUCGACGGCGGUGUUUGGCACCUCGAUGUCGGCUCAUCACAUCCUGGGGCUGAAGUAGGUCCCAAGGGUAUGGCUGUUCGCCAUUUAAAGUGGUACGCGAGCUGGGUUUAGAACGUCGUGAGACAGUUCGGUCCCUAUCUGCCGUGGGCGCUGGAGAACUGAGGGGGGCUGCUCCUAGUACGAGAGGACCGGAGUGGACGCAUCACUGGUGUUCGGGUUGUCAUGCCAAUGGCACUGCCCGGUAGCUAAAUGCGGAAGAGAUAAGUGCUGAAAGCAUCUAAGCACGAAACUUGCC
Molecule: ribosomal RNA, 1404 nt
Filed under: Escherichia coli
Lineage: Bacteria; Pseudomonadati; Pseudomonadota; Gammaproteobacteria; Enterobacterales; Enterobacteriaceae
Description: partial 23S ribosomal RNA
Rfam family: Bacterial large subunit ribosomal RNA
Source: RNAcentral